RNAcentral lists this unclassified non-coding RNA (330 nucleotides) under soil metagenome. Its description in RNAcentral is "partial contains 5.8S ribosomal RNA, internal transcribed spacer 2, and large subunit ribosomal RNA". The stretch from base 1 to 120 matches the Rfam family "5.8S ribosomal RNA", at positions 35 to 154 of the family's 154-position model. The record is from RNAcentral.
GAUGAAGAACGCAGCGAAAUGCGAUAAGUAAUGCGAAUUGCAGAAUUCAGUGAAUCAUCGAAUCUUUGAACGCACAUUGCGCCCCCUGGUAUUCCGGGGGGCAUGCCUGUUCGAGCGUCAUUUCACCACUCAAGCCUCGCUUGGUAUUGGGCAACGCGGUCCGCCGCGUGCCUCAAAUCGACCGGCUGGGUCUUCUGUCCCCUAAGCGUUGUGGAAACUAUUCGCUAAAGGGUGUUCGGGAGGCUACGCCGUAAAACAACCCCAUUUCUAAGGUUGACCUCGGAUCAGGUAGGGAUACCCGCUGAACUUAAGCAUAUCAAUAAGCGGAGG